Molecule: long non-coding RNA, 1167 nt
Filed under: Linum usitatissimum (flax)
Lineage: Eukaryota; Viridiplantae; Streptophyta; Magnoliopsida; Malpighiales; Linaceae
Description: long non-coding RNA (LUSI_LNC004231)
Source: RNAcentral
GUCAAAUAAAACCAUCGCUAGGUUCCUUAAACUUCUGUUAUCAUUUCAAUCUAGCAACUUUCAUCCACACCCCCCCUAACUCAUAUAGCUGCUUUACGUUCAUUUCCUUAAUCAAUAUUUGUCUACUUGGUAGUGCUAUUCUAAGGGCACAUCACUUUUUAGCAUAAACAUAUCAACACGUAAAUAACUACGUACCAAUCAUGUAAUUCAAUUGAAAAUAGCACAUCACAUAAAACAUAACAUGUAAGCUAACUGCCGCAACAUAAAGAAUUUAUCCCCUUUCAACCAACCCACUUCAUUGACGAGCUGGAAUCUCAGAAUCAGAUCCGAGAUGGUUCCCCUUGUCGCCACGAAACCAUAGCUCCCGACAAUGCAUCAUUUGGAGGUCAAACGGUCGAGUUAUACCUUGUGUUGUUUGUAAUUGGUUAAAACUUCGAGGGGCACAAAUGUCAGUUCACUGCCGAAUUUGAAAAAUUACAUGAACAGUUCUCCAAAUUUAUUAAAGUUACAGACAGCUCACUUAACUUUCCAGGUUGCAAAUAGGUCCCUGAGCUUUCCAGAACUUGCAGAUUGGUCAUGGAGAUUUACAGAACUUGCGCUUUGGUCAGUCGUCUUCAACCUAAUACUUCGGCGAGACCAGUUCGUUGGAACUGCGGUUUCUAGCUUCGGAUCACCCUAACUCCUCCGUUCGAUGCACCGAAGACUCCAUAUCCCCUUCGCCGGGUCAGCUACAACUCCAUACGCGCCCUCGCCGUCCACUGCACGUAGCCGCCGCCGCCGAACCUUUCCCCUAAUCCAACCUCGCGAUCGUAAGCUUGCACCGUCGAGUCCGCUCGUUGUCAAUCGUCCGCCCUUCCAUCGAUCCGUCGCCACUGCUUGUUCCGAUCUCCGUUCAAUUGAUCUCCUCCCUCCGUCGUGCCGUCAUGGAUCGAGAUGAGAUAAAUCGUCCGGGUGAGGGAAAGAUAGAUAAAGGGUUCGUAAUUUCCAAUUUAAGGGGGGCCUUUCUUGGCUGGACUAAUCGAAUGGACUAAUUCCAUAUGAUCUCCAUCAGUUUCGGUUGCACCGAUAUGGAAUGACCGCAUCUGAAAAUUUUGGAAAGAAACCUCGGAAAGGAGGGAAAGAGACGGGCUAACGUCAUCCAUGACGUCAUCGGCUAUUGAUUUAAAU